UGGGGAAUAUUGCACAAUGGGCGCAAGCCUGAUGCAGCCAUGCCGCGUGUAUGAAGAAGGCCUUCGGGUUGUAAAGUACUUUCAGCGGGGAGGAAGGGAGUAAAGUUAAUACCUUUGCUCAUUGACGUUACCCGCAGAAGAAGCACCGGCUAACUCCGUGCCAGCAGCCGCGGUAAUACGGAGGGUGCAAGCAUUAAUCGGAAUUACUGGGCAUAAAGCGCACGCAGGCGGUUUGUUAAGUCAGAUGUGAAAUCCCCGGGCUCAACCUGGGAACUGCAUCUGAUACUGGCAAGCUUGAGUCUCGUAGAGGGGGGUAGAAUUCCAGGUGUAGCGGUGAAAUGCGUAGAGAUCUGGAGGAAUACCGGUGGCGAAGGCGGCCCCCUGGACGAAGACUGACGCUCAGGUGCGAAAGCGUGGGGAGCAAACAGG
RNAcentral lists this ribosomal RNA (429 nucleotides) under Chloroflexota bacterium. Its description in RNAcentral is "Chloroflexi bacterium partial 16S ribosomal RNA". It matches the Rfam family "Bacterial small subunit ribosomal RNA", at positions 355 to 776 of the family's 1533-position model. The record is from RNAcentral. Lineage: Bacteria; Bacillati; Chloroflexota.